This 110-nucleotide small nucleolar RNA is filed under the name Lachancea mirantina. The record is from RNAcentral. Lineage: Eukaryota; Fungi; Ascomycota; Saccharomycetes; Saccharomycetales; Saccharomycetaceae.
CUGGCUGUGAUUAUACUUCAAAGUAUACCAAUUGUUCCGACUGAAUAGUGGGUUUUCACUGCAUGUCGACAACCGGUUCUAUCGUUAAGUUUCAGCCUUGUAUGAGCCAG